This 468-nucleotide ribosomal RNA is filed under the name uncultured bacterium. RNAcentral describes it as "partial 16S ribosomal RNA". It matches the Rfam family "Bacterial small subunit ribosomal RNA", at positions 28 to 507 of the family's 1533-position model. The record is from RNAcentral.
GACGAACGCUGGCGGCGUGCUUAACACAUGCAAGUCGAACGGAAAGGCCCUGCUUUUGUGGGGUGCUCGAGUGGCGAACGGGUGAGUAACACGUGAGUAACCUGCCCUUGACUUUGGGAUAACUUCAGGAAACUGGGGCUAAUACCGGAUAGGAGCUCCUGCUGCAUGGUGGGGGGUGGAAAGUUUCGGCGGUUGGGGAUGGACUCGCGGCUUAUCAGCUUGUUGGUGGGGUAGUGGCUUACCAAGGCUUUGACGGGUAGCCGGCCUGAGAGGGUGACCGGCCACAUGAGGACUGAGAUACGGCCCAGACUCCUACGGGAGGCAGCAGUGGGGAAUAUUGCACAGUGGGCGGAAGCCUGUUACGGCAGCGCCGCGUGCGGGAUGACGGCCUUCGGGGUGUGAACCGCUUUCGCCUGUGACGAAGCGUGAGUGACGGUAAUGGGUAAAGAAGCACCGGCUAACUACGUG